UCUGGGACAAGCCCUGGAAACGGGGUCUAAUACCGGAUACCACUCUCUUCCGCAUGGGAGAGGGUUGAAAGCUCCGGCGGUGAAGGAUGAGCCCGCGGCCUAUCAGCUUGUUGGUGGGGUGAUGGCCCACCAAGGCGACGACGGGUAGCCGGCCUGAGAGGGCGACCGGCCACACUGGGACUGAGACACGGCCCAGACUCCUACGGGAGGCAGCAGUGGGGAAUAUUGCACAAUGGGCGAAAGCCUGAUGCAGCGACGCCGCGUGAGGGAUGACGGCCUUCGGGUUGUAAACCUCUUUCAGCAGGGAAGAAGCGAAAGUGACGGUACCUGCAGAAGAAGCGCCGGCUAACUACGUGCCAGCAGCCGCGGUAAUACGUAGGGCGCAAGCGUUGUCCGGAAUUAUUGGGCGUAAAGAGCUCGUAGGCGGCUUGUCACGUCGGAUGUGAAAGCCCGGGGCUUAACCCCGGGUCUGCAUUCGAUACGGGCAGGCUAGAGUGUGGUAGGGGAGAUCGGAAUUCCUGGUGUAGCGGUGAAAUGCGCAGAUAUCAGGAGGAACACCGGUGGCGAAGGCGGAUCUCUGGGCCAUUACUGACGCUGAGGAGCGAAAGCGUGGGGAGCGAACAGGAUUAGAUACCCUGGUAGUCCACGCCGUAAACGUUGGGAACUAGGUGUUGGCGACAUUCCACGUCGUCGGUGCCGCAGCUAACGCAUUAAGUUCCCCGCCUGG
RNAcentral lists this ribosomal RNA (727 nucleotides) under Streptomyces sp. RNAcentral describes it as "bacterial SSU rRNA". It matches the Rfam family "Bacterial small subunit ribosomal RNA", at positions 137 to 876 of the family's 1533-position model. Lineage: Bacteria; Bacillati; Actinomycetota; Actinomycetes; Kitasatosporales; Streptomycetaceae. The record is from RNAcentral.